GGCGCUGUGGUGAAAUUGGUAAACACAAGCGACUUAAAAUCGCUCGGCCUCGGUCUUGCGGGUUCAAGUCCCGCCAGCGCCA
This 82-nucleotide transfer RNA is filed under the name Sulfuriroseicoccus oceanibius. It matches the Rfam family "tRNA". From Rfam's summary of the family: Transfer RNA (tRNA) molecules are approximately 80 nucleotides in length. Their secondary structure includes four short double-helical elements and three loops (D, anti-codon, and T loops). Further hydrogen bonds mediate the characteristic L-shaped molecular structure. tRNAs have two regions of fundamental functional importance: the anti-codon, which is responsible for specific mRNA codon recognition, and the 3' end, to which the tRNAs corresponding amino acid is attached (by aminoacyl-tRNA synthetases). tRNAs cope with the degeneracy of the genetic code in two manners: having more than one tRNA (with a specific anti-codon) for a particular amino acid; and 'wobble' base-pairing, i.e. permitting non-standard base-pairing at the 3rd anti-codon position. Lineage: Bacteria; Pseudomonadati; Verrucomicrobiota; Verrucomicrobiia; Verrucomicrobiales; Verrucomicrobiaceae. The record is from Rfam by way of RNAcentral.